GUGUUUNCCGCCCCCNGCCCCUUUUGGAGGNNGCACAGUGGGGAUAUUUGCACAAUGGGGGAAACCCUGACCCGCGACCCCGCGUGGGUGAAGAAAUCCNNUUGGAUGUUAAACCUUUUUUUUCNCGGAGAGAUAANGACGGUACCAUGGGGGGAAGCCCCGGCAAAUUUCGGCCCCCCAGCCGCGGUAAUUCGUAGGGGGCAAGCUUUUUCCGGAAUUUCUGGGGGUAAAGGGCGCUCAGGGUGAUUUUUAAGUCGGUAGUAAAAAGCCGAGGCUCAACUUGGGUUUACCUUUCGAAACUGUAAUUCUAGAGUCUGGGAGAGGGAAGUGGAAUUCCCGGUGUAGCGGUGAAAUGCGUAGAUAUCGGGAGGAACCCCAGUGGCGAAGGCGUCUUCCUGGCACUAUACUGACGCUCAUGUGCGAAAGCUAGGGUAGCCAAACCGGGAUUAGAUACCCCGGUAGUCCUCCCCGUAAACGAUGGAUACUAGGUGUGGGUGUCGUCAGGCCUUCCGUGCCGCCGCUAACGCCUUAAGUUUCCCGCCUGGAUUNGAC
This 552-nucleotide ribosomal RNA is filed under the name uncultured bacterium. RNAcentral describes it as "partial 16S ribosomal RNA". It matches the Rfam family "Bacterial small subunit ribosomal RNA", at positions 319 to 883 of the family's 1533-position model. The record is from RNAcentral.